Molecule: long non-coding RNA, 1127 nt
Filed under: Triticum aestivum (bread wheat)
Lineage: Eukaryota; Viridiplantae; Streptophyta; Magnoliopsida; Poales; Poaceae
Description: long non-coding RNA (TAES_LNC027867)
Source: RNAcentral
GUCUACAAACCGUUCUUCUCGGCGGAACUCCAAACAGCCCGCCGAGCGGCAGUCGCGCUGUGCUGAUAUCUAUGGGGAGGCAGAGGAUGAUGAGGUAAGUAUCGAGCAAGCAGUGUGGGUGCAUUUUCCUUUUUUGCAUACACACACAAGUAAUUUUUUCCAUGCAUCCUUUUAGGUUGCUGUCCGAUUCCGCAUUGUGAAAUGGUGGAAAUGGAAGGUGACCUAGUAGGUGGGAGUUGUAUAUGGAGCUGGCACAUCAUGUGCAGCAGGUGUUGAGGUAACAUGAAAUGGUAUUAGGCAUUUUUAUUUUCUUUUUUUCUACACAAAGUAACCUGGGAUAUGAUUUUUUUACCCAGUUGCACAAGAACCAGCUAGGUGUUGGCAUCAUGAACUUUAUAGUUGCACAGGAAUCAAUUAAGAGUUGGUAUCCUUAACUUUUCAAAUAUUUGCACAACAAUAGCAUACGAGUUGGCAUCCCCAACUUCCAUAGUUGCACCAGAACCAUUUGGGAGUUGGCAGUCUCAGCUUUUUAAAUAAUCCCACAACAAUAUCAUAUGAAUUGGCAUCCUCAACUUUCAUAGUUGCACCAGAACCAAUUGGGAGUUGGUGGUCUCAUCAUUUUAAAUAGUCCCACAACAAUAUCACAUGAGUUAUCCUCAACUAUUUUAGUUGCAUAAGAACAAAUCAGGAAUUGACAUCCCCAAUUUUUUUAAAUAGUUGCACAACAAUGCCACCUGAGUUGGCAUCUUCAACUUUUAUAUGAGUUGAAGAUGCCAACUACUGAAAUUCAAUCCCCACAAGUAGAUGGAUCUGGGGGUGUUGUCAGAUGCACUUGUGUUGGUUAAGUUGCGCAGAUACGCCCCAGAUCUGGUUCAUUUUCUCUAAGGCUUCAUUUUUGCAUCAUGUGCAGGUUUUACAGGUUAUGGGGGUGGAGGAGCUGUUGUAGCUUUGUGCACACAAUUCUCAGCUACGAAGUCACAUAUACAAUUGUGUGGAAAGAUCAAAGGAAAAAACGCCUGCAAACCAUUAUUCAGUAGUUGGCCAGUUUGUACUAAAUAGUUGCACACAUACAAAACAGGGAUUGGUUCAGUGUUUUUCUCACAAAUUGUGUUUUAAUCUUGUCCAGG